This 392-nucleotide ribosomal RNA is filed under the name uncultured Entrophospora. Its description in RNAcentral is "uncultured Claroideoglomus partial 28S ribosomal RNA". The record is from RNAcentral. Lineage: Eukaryota; Fungi; Glomeromycota; Glomeromycetes; Entrophosporales; Entrophosporaceae.
GUGAAAUUGUUGAAAGGGAAACGCUUGAAGUCAGUCGUGCUGGCGCGAAAUCAACCCACCCGUUGGCAACACAUGCUGUUUGCGAGCCUCAAAACCGCUGCGACAUGUGAUCGCUUCACGGGAGGGUGCACUUUCGAGUCGGCUGGUUAACAUCAAUUUCGAACGUCAUAAAAAGGCUGGAGGGAUGUGGCUCCUUCGGGAGUGUUAUAACCUUUGGCGGAAUGUGGUGGACGGGAUUGAGGAUUGCAACGGAUACCUUCAGGGCUGUUCCACCUGGCCUCUCGUUGGUAUCCUGGCGGCGACAGCUUGCUGACGUCGUUAGGAUCCGCCUUCGAACAGGCUAGAGUGUGAGCAAAUUCGUUAAGGAUGUUGACGUAAUGGCUUUAAACGAC